UGAACGCUAGCUACAGGCUUAACACAUGCAAGUCGAGGGGCAGCAUGGUCUUAGCUUGCUAAGGCCGAUGGCGACCGGCGCACGGGUGAGUAACACGUAUCCAACCUGCCGUCUACUCUUGGACAGCCUUCUGAAAGGAAGAUUAAUACAAGAUGGCAUCAUGAGUCCGCAUGUUCACAUGAUUAAAGGUAUUCCGGUAGACGAUGGGGAUGCGUUCCAUUAGAUAGUAGGCGGGGUAACGGCCCACCUAGUCUUCGAUGGAUAGGGGUUCUGAGAGGAAGGUCCCCCACAUUGGAACUGAGACACGGUCCAAACUCCUACGGGAGGCAGCAGUGAGGAAUAUUGGUCAAUGGGCGAGAGCCUGAACCAGCCAAGUAGCGUGAAGGAUGACUGCCCUAUGGGUUGUAAACUUCUUUUAUAAAGGAAUAAAGUCGGGUAUGGAUACCCGUUUGCAUGUACUUUACGAAUAAGGAUCGGCUAACUCCGUGCCAGCAGCCGCGGUAAUACGGAGGAUCCGAGCGUUAUCCGGAUUUAUUGGGUUUAAAGGGAGCGUAGAUGGAUGUUUAAGUCAGUUGUGAAAGUUUGCGGCUCAACCGUAAAAUUGCAGUUGAUACUGGAUAUCUUGAGUGCAGUUGAGGCAGGCGGAAUUCGUGGUGUAGCGGUGAAAUGCUUAGAUAUCACGAAGAACUCCGAUUGCGAAGGCAGCCUGCUAAGCUGCAACUGACAUUGAGGCUCGAAAGUGUGGGUAUCAAACAGGAUUAGAUACCCUGGUAGUCCACACGGUAAACGAUGAAUACUCGCUGUUUGCGAUAUACUGCAAGCGGCCAAGCGAAAGCGUUAAGUAUUCCACCUGGGGAGUACGCCGGCAACGGUGAAACUCAAAGGAAUUGACGGGGGCCCGCACAAGCGGAGGAACAUGUGGUUUAAUUCGAUGAUACGCGAGGAACCUUACCCGGGCUUAAAUUGCAGAUGAAUUACGGUGAAAGCCGUAAGCCGCAAGGCAUCUGUGAAGGUGCUGCAUGGUUGUCGUCAGCUCGUGCCGUGAGGUGUCGGCUUAAGUGCCAUAACGAGCGCAACCCUUGUUGUCAGUUACUAACAGGUUCCGCUGAGGACUCUGACAAGACUGCCAUCGUAAGAUGUGAGGAAGGUGGGGAUGACGUCAAAUCAGCACGGCCCUUACGUCCGGGGCUACACACGUGUUACAAUGGGGGGUACAGAGGGCCGCUACCACGCGAGUGGAUGCCAAUCCCCAAAACCUCUCUCAGUUCGGACUGGAGUCUGCAACCCGACUCCACGAAGCUGGAUUCGCUAGUAAUCGCGCAUCAGCCACGGCGCGGUGAAUACGUUCCCGGGCCUUGUACACACCGCCCGUCAAGCCAUGGGAGCCGGGGGUACCUGAAGUGCGUAACCGCGAGGAGCGCCCUAGGGUAAAACUGGUGACUGGGGCU
Molecule: ribosomal RNA, 1448 nt
Filed under: uncultured organism
Description: SSU rRNA
Rfam family: Bacterial small subunit ribosomal RNA
Source: RNAcentral